This 630-nucleotide ribosomal RNA is filed under the name Escherichia coli. Its description in RNAcentral is "partial 23S ribosomal RNA". It matches the Rfam family "Bacterial large subunit ribosomal RNA", at positions 2263 to 2887 of the family's 2925-position model. The record is from RNAcentral. Lineage: Bacteria; Pseudomonadati; Pseudomonadota; Gammaproteobacteria; Enterobacterales; Enterobacteriaceae.
GGGUAGUUUGACUGGGGCGGUCUCCUCCUAAAGAGUAACGGAGGAGCACGAAGGUUGGCUAAUCCUGGUCGGACAUCAGGAGGUUAGUGCAAUGGCAUAAGCCAGCUUGACUGCGAGCGUGACGGCGCGAGCAGGUGCGAAAGCAGGUCAUAGUGAUCCGGUGGUUCUGAAUGGAAGGGCCAUCGCUCAACGGAUAAAAGGUACUCCGGGGAUAACAGGCUGAUACCGCCCAAGAGUUCAUAUCGACGGCGGUGUUUGGCACCUCGAUGUCGGCUCAUCACAUCCUGGGGCUGAAGUAGGUCCCAAGGGUAUGGCUGUUCGCCAUUUAAAGUGGUACGCGAGCUGGGUUUAGAACGUCGUGAGACAGUUCGGUCCCUAUCUGCCGUGGGCGCUGGAGAACUGAGGGGGGCUGCUCCUAGUACGAGAGGACCGGAGUGGACGCAUCACUGGUGUUCGGGUUGUCAUGCCAAUGGCACUGCCCGGUAGCUAAAUGCGGAAGAGAUAAGUGCUGAAAGCAUCUAAGCACGAAACUUGCCCCGAGAUGAGUUCUCCCUGACUCCUUGAGAGUCCUGAAGGAACGUUGAAGACGACGACGUUGAUAGGCCGGGUGUGUAAGCGCAGCGAUGCGUU